UCCAGGAGAUUCUCCCUUUAAUUAUGCCUUCGCAGCCUCUCCCACGCGCGGCAACGCCCGUUCCCACCGGCGCUCCAGAUAAAGGCCAGAGGCUCCUGGACGACGCUGACGUUCACACGCCCCAGGUUUCCGUACUUGGAGAGCUGAGUGGGUGGAAUGCCUGGCCCAGAUGGUCUGUGCCAUCUGAGCUGGAGGAAAAAGGACUUGGAGACAGCGAUUUAAAUAAGGAACGAGGUCUUCUAGGAAGACAGUGCAAAACUGGAUGAAGAGCUCUUGCUCCCCACUGCUGAAGGCAGCCUCUUCG
Molecule: non-coding RNA, 304 nt
Organism: Kogia breviceps (pygmy sperm whale)
Lineage: Eukaryota; Metazoa; Chordata; Mammalia; Artiodactyla; Physeteridae
Source: RefSeq, a predicted model, not a curated record